UUGAAAACAAAGAUAAGGAUAAGUAGAUUAUUUAAUAUAUGGAUUAGAGACAGUAUGGUUGGUGAAAAUACUGAUAUGAGUAAUUGAAUAGCACCUUAGAGUGAUCAAAUGAAAUUAGUAGUUUGAUCCGGUACAUACCGUUAUCAUGUUAAGAGAUCAUAUAUGUAUAUAUAUGGUAAAAAGGGUGGCAACGCGAGACAUCGUCCCUUUA
Molecule: non-coding RNA, 211 nt
Filed under: Holdemanella biformis
Lineage: Bacteria; Bacillati; Bacillota; Erysipelotrichia; Erysipelotrichales; Erysipelotrichaceae
Description: Eubacterium biforme T-box sequence
Rfam family: T-box leader
About the family: Uncharged tRNA acts as the effector for transcription antitermination of genes in the T-box leader family. T-boxes are found upstream of many aminoacyl-tRNA synthetase genes and some amino acid biosynthetic genes usually in Gram-positive bacteria.
Source: RNAcentral